UGUUACAAUUUUCAUCCAUUUGUAUUGUUAAAAACUAGCGUGACUGAUGGAAUAACCAAACAAUAAUAGUGGCGUGCCACAUGGACCUCAUGCUGAAGUAUGAGGAUCAGUUUUUAACACUAGAAAUGGAUAGAAUUUUUAACA
Molecule: non-coding RNA, 144 nt
Organism: Gossypium raimondii (Peruvian cotton)
Lineage: Eukaryota; Viridiplantae; Streptophyta; Magnoliopsida; Malvales; Malvaceae
Source: Rfam